GGAUGAACGCUGGCGGCGUGCCUAACACAUGCAAGUCGAGCGAUUCUCUUCGGAGAAGAGCGGCGGACGGGUGAGUAACGCGUGGGUAACCUGCCCUGUACACACGGAUAACAUACCGAAAGGUAUGCUAAUACGAGAUAAUAUGCUUUUAUCGCAUGGUAGAAGUAUCAAAGCUUUUGCGGUACAGGAUGGACCCGCGUCUGAUUAGCUAGUUGGUAAGGUAACAGCUUACCAAGGCGACGAUCAGUAGCCGACCUGAGAGGGUGAUCGGCCACAUUGGAACUGAGACACGGUCCAAACUCCUACGGGAGGCAGCAGUGGGGAAUAUUGCACAAUGGGCGAAAGCCUGAUGCAGCAACGCCGUGUGAGCGAUGAAGGCCUUCGGGUCGUAAAGCUCUGUCCUCAAGGAAGAUAAUGACGGUACUUGAGGAGGAAGCCCCGGCUAACUACGUGCCAGCAGCCGCGGUAAUACGUAGGGGGCUAGCGUUAUCCGGAAUUACUGGGCGUAAAGGGUGCGUAGGUGGUUUCUUAAGUCAGAGGUGAAAGGCUACGGCUCAACCGUAGUAAGCCUUUGAAACUGGGAAACUUGAGUGCAGGAGAGGAGAGUGGAAUUCCUAGUGUAGCGGUGAAAUGCGUAGAUAUUAGGAGGAACACCAGUUGCGAAGGCGGCUCUCUGGACUGUAACUGACACUGAGGCACGAAAGCGUGGGGAGCAAACAGGAUUAGAUACCCUGGUAGUCCACGCUGUAAACGAUGAGUACUAGCUGUCGGAGGUUACCCCCUUCGGUGGCGCAGCUAACGCAUUAAGUACUCCGCCUGGGAAGUACGCUCGCAAGAGUGAAACUCAAAGGAAUUGACG
This 859-nucleotide ribosomal RNA is filed under the name uncultured bacterium. RNAcentral describes it as "bacterial SSU rRNA". It matches the Rfam family "Bacterial small subunit ribosomal RNA", at positions 27 to 915 of the family's 1533-position model. The record is from RNAcentral.